Molecule: long non-coding RNA, 7179 nt
Organism: Aethalodelphis obliquidens (Pacific white-sided dolphin)
Lineage: Eukaryota; Metazoa; Chordata; Mammalia; Artiodactyla; Delphinidae
Exons: 6
Source: RefSeq, a predicted model, not a curated record
UGGGAUCUUCCCGAACCAGGGAUUGAACCUGUGUCACCUGCAUUGGCAGGCGAAUUCUUAACCACUGUGCCACCAGGGAAGUCCCUACACUAAUCUUUUAACAUGAAGUUUUCAUUCCAGUAAACUGCAUAUGACUACAAACAAAUGUAUUGUUUUUUCAUAAGUUCAUUGUAUCACUUACCAAAUUUUUAAAAGAUAGUUUUUAUUACAUCUUAGGGGAUAAUCAGCAGUUAUUUGUCAUUGCCAUUUCUUAGUUAAAACUAACUGCAGCAAUAAAGGUAAGGAAAAUUUUUCAAGGUUUUUCUUUUCUAGCUGUUAUGAGGGUUUCAUCCACUAACUCUCAUGAACAAUAAGUUUUAUUCUCUGUGUGAAAGUAACUUUGAUGUGAGCCUACCUGAAUCAGAUUGAUUUCAUUAUACAUCAUUCCUGAUUUUAUAGCCCACUAGGCUAAUUCGUGGAGUUAUUAUCCAUUUUUAGGAAAUCAGAGAAUUGUCCAGACAUUCUAGGAAAACAACGCGUAAUCUGUCUCAUUCACAGACCUUCAGUCAUCAUAGAGAAGAAGAGAGGAUAAAAACAGUUGCAGUUGGACUUUCUUCCUGCGAUCAUUCACUACUUAGCUCUUUGUUUUGCUCUAGGGUGAGACCAGAAUUAGACUGUUUCAAGUCACUUCAUGUUCCUAGAAAUCACUUGGCCUUAGACAUACAGCUCUAUUCAAUUCGUUACAGCCUGAUGCUGCCACAGUAGGCAAACGCCACAUUUACAUGUAUAAUUUAAACCUGCACAGAGAACAUCUGCAGCAAAACCCGCAGAAAGAGCCACCAGGCAGUCGCAGCACGUCCGGGUAGCAGCUCUCUUCUCCACUCUCCAGAGUUCCGUAUUCAGUUGGUCCAGGAGCUGACUCUCAUAUACCUCAGAAGAGUAUUUAACAAGAAGGCAAAGUUUAAGUGGCUUAAAGCCAUCAUCAGGAAAUAUCAUCAGGUCAUGCAGUGAGUAAACUGACACUAAGAGAAGUGAGCUUCCGAAGUCUCACCAGUGGCGAGCAGCUGAGAUGGAACUUGGCCUCAGAUCUGAUUCUACCCCGAUACCAACUUGUGGAUCGAAACCAUCCAGUGUUUAAUAUAUACCUUGGUGACAAAUGUGUAUCAUUACUAUCGCAUAUUUGUUUCCUCUCUGUUGGAACUUAAAGGAAUCUUGAGACAUGACCCCGCCCACUCUCAUUUUAUUGAUGGGGAGCAUGGUACAGGGCUAUCAAGAAGCUGUCCAACGUUCACAGGGGAAAGAAGGAAAGAGAGAUCCCGUCUGACCCCGUCACCUUUGUUUUAUCAAUUCCCGUUCCGUGAAGCAGCUUGAGGACGUGAGGGCGGCCGUUGUCCACUGCAGCUGGAAAUACUGCCUUGCAGCCUUGGUUUUGGCUUUCAAGCGGGUAAUGUUAUUUUAAUCACCCCCUGCUGAGUUUUUUCACAGAACUGAAAUUAUAAGGGCUGCUUCUAUUUUCUAUACUUGUUUAAAAUACUGUUUUGCUCUGCCACCCUAGAAUGCACAGGAGAAAGGGUGUUUUUUUUUGAUGUCAGCACAUUUCAUUUCAUUUUAAAAUGACCACAUCCUGGUUGACAGGGGCUUGGAUUCUUCCAAGGAAGCCGAGGGUGGAGAGGUGGUCAGUUAAUACUGUCAUUGGCCUGCAGAGGGAGCUCUGCGGUUUUCUUUUUCUCCAAUGCACAUCUGGCCCAUUGGUUAAUGUAGGGGAGUGACUUAUGGACUAUAUAGUAUUAGAGAGUCAACUUAGCUUUUCCUUUCCCUACUGCUCUGCUAUGUAAUGGAUCUCCACGCCAGGAGUCGGGGUCAGUGCACAGAGGGUUUUACUCACACGUGCUCCACAGCGCUCUGAAAGGCUCUGGAAAAUCUCCCUUCUAGGGAUAGGCCACAAGAAGUCUUCUGUGGUCCUGAGAACCCAGCACCCUUGGGCUUUCUACAAAGAACCAUUUCCUCUUCCGUAUAGUUUGCCAGUUACUGUUUAAAUUCAUUUUAAAAAUUAUAAAUGUAGACAUACUCAUUACAGACCAUUCUGAAAAUUGAAAACACAUUAAGAAAAGAGUUGCUCAGAACCUGCGACACAGAGCUGCCCACCAUGGCUGUAUCUCCUUCUGGUCUCAUAGGCUCCGUACUGCCUAAAGCCUUCAUGCUCUGCGAUCGACACUUGCAAAAUCCGUGUCAAGACAGCUUCCUGCGCUGGAGAAGAUCAGAGCAGGAACGGCCUGACAUCCACAGAAGGUUCUGCGAUGGCAACUCAGCUUGACUGAAGAGAAAACCCUUCUCCCUAAGUGUCCUGAAUUCCGCUGAUGAUCUGAGGACGAGUGGCUUGUCCUAGGGCUGCUUGUGGCUCGUUUUCUCAGCCCAUCCGACCCAGACAUUAAACGGCUAGUUCAUGACCCUUUGCUGUCCACGUGAUGGCAGAGAACUCUGAGAUGCCGUGUGACAUGGCAGCACACAUUUAACUUGUCACAGAACAAAUGUUUUAUUGGGAGCGGCACAUCGGACACAAGGCAGUGAGUCUGCUCCGCACACCGCAGCCUGUCUGCCCUUGAGCGUUUGGAAGAAGCAAAGAGGGUGGAGACCGCAGCUCUGGUGCUGGCUACUGUCCACAGAGAGAAAAAUGUUGAUUUUUUGUGGAUGAAAUGUUUCCCUGCUCAACUGAGGUGUCAUCAGCAUCUCAACAAUGAAGAGGAAUAGAAUUUGUAAGAGAUAAAAGGCUGCCCUCAUCAGCAUUUUAAUUCAAGGAGAAGCGCACCUAUUGAAAAGGGUUCUGUCCAUCUACACACAGCUUUGUAAGAAGGGUUAGAAGGUCCAGGAUGAGCCAGCAAAGAUGACAGGAAGGAAACGCCUAUAUGGCUCCCCACGUAAUUGAGCGUCUUCUUGGAUUGGGCCAAGAGGACGAAGUCUAAGCAGUUGACCCUGGACAGAUAGCUGACGAAAGACGCAGCUGGAGAUGCUGGGCGUUGAAGGAAAAGACCCUGGCUGGUCGGGUGCUGGUGACCUGUGACAUUGGACUCUGUGGGUCCAAGAGGCCUCAGAAGCAAGUAAGCACCCAGCUGGGCAGGCAGGGGAGGCUUCUCCCUCCUCUGACUCCCAUAUCCUCACCCACCCCACCAACCACAUGGAUGUUUUCAGUCUUUGGAAUUACAAGUUCUGUGUUUCAGAUCGCAUGAGUGAUGUAUGUUCCUCGUAGAAAUGUGAAAAGUAAGCACAAGGACAAAAGUUCCCUGUGAUCCUGGUACCCAGAGCAAGGAUUGUUCGUAUUUCAGUGUACGAUGCAGCCAUACUUGUUUCUGCAACUAAAUAUGCCCCCGUGCUCUAACGGGGACUUGAGGAGACACGAAAGCCCCCCUUCAGAUGCAGGCUUCCUGAUUCUUACGAUAGAGGGAGGCCUUCAUGAUGCACAGAGGGCACAGCUGUGCGCUCUGGAGCGGGGCGACGUGCUUUGGGGUGAAGGUGAAAGGCACAACUCAGGGCAUACUGCACACAAGACGAUGUGAUGCAGCCACAUCCCCAAGAGGAAGGAGAAAGCAAGGGCAGCCAGACGUGCCUGAGCCCCAGUGCCUUGAAAUGAGUGCCAUCCUUCUGGAAACAAGAGUCCGGUGAGGAAACUGAACAAAUCCAAGGUGUCUCUUGGCCUCGGACACGGGAGCUCACAUAAUCUGCGUGGUGGAGAACACUGGUUGAGAGAUGCAGAUAUCACCUUCCCGCUGCCAGAAAAGCAGUUCACAGCAGCCCUGGCUCUGAAUCGGAGUACAAAGUGUUCCAGUUCAGAGGAAGAACUGUCACAGGUGUCACGCUGGUAAUGGUCAUUCUGACUCACAAAGCUACAAACCAUGUCUGCACCCGCCCAACCAAUGAAGCCAGGAAGCGAACUUACUAUGGGAGACAAUCUAUGCGCAGGACCAUUGGAUCAUUCGCUCUUUUGAAUUAGUCUCACUGGAACUCUCUGUGCUCCAGAGAGACACUUGUUAUUACUUAAAUUUAAAAGGUUGAAAUGGAAGACAGUUUUAGGAAUAAAGAGGGAGUUUUAGGAAGAAAAUGUAGGUCUUAGAGCGACAAGUAUUUUUUAUUAAUUGCAUCACAGAGGGCCUGGAGUUAACUGAAUCAGAUCAAACUUUUAGAAAAAUGGAUGUUCAGAAAAAGCUCCAGUAAACUUUCCAAUAGCUCAUUGAUUUUGGGCUGACCCUCUGUAACAUACCUGGAAUAUUGAAGAGGGCCUAGAAUCACCUAGAGGUGUGUUUGUGCCCCGUGUAGCAACUAUCUCAUUAUUUAGUCUGUCUGAAAUUAAUAUGCACAGCUUGGUGGGAUUUCCCGGCCUUAGGUGUUGUGGAUAAAAGUACUAUUCUACAUAAUCUGUUUCCCUUUUCCUCCUGAACACCCAGAUGGAGUCCCUUUCCCAGACUCCCUUGCAAUUCGGUGUGAUCACAUGACUGACAGUGGGUGGGACGUGAGUAGGAGACCGUGUGCGUCACUCCCAGGCCUGAAAACUUUACACCCACCCUCCGAUAUGCUCUUUUCCUUCUCCCGGUGAUUGGGGUGGCAACCCCCAGGCGACCCAGGAAGCCUCACGUUAAAGACGGCACACCACCUUCAGCCUGGGUUCUUGUACGUCUACGUUGAGCAGAGCUGCUUCCCUGGACCUCCGUGGAUGGUGCCAGUUCCCUUGUGCUGAAGCAUUGCGUGCUCGUGUCUGUUCUUUUAUUACAGCCUUGCCCACCUGAGUGAACGCAGACCCUAAUAAGGACAUCAGGGUGUUGGCAGCCUGUGCAACCCCUGCGUGCCUGCCCCAAGAUGGAAUGCUUGUUCCUAGUGUGACUUACGCAAGGUGCUCAGCAGUGUAUCUGGCCAUCCUCCCCUGGAAAGAGGUCCUCUGCAUCCCUUUGUCACCCAGCGCCCAGGGUCUGCACUCCUAUCUCUGUCACCCACGGCAGCCAGAUCGUCGACCAGCAGUUGCUCUAAAUGCAUAGAGAUUUUGGAUACGUGCUUAUUCAAACCCCCGGACACAUGAAACUGGGCUGUGCGUUCCCCUGCCACACCUUCCUGAAGCACUGGGCUUUGUUUGAAGAUUUUGGAGGAGAAAGAAUAUUAUUUCAUACUAAAAUAAACAUGAAUGGGCAGAAUGCAAAAGUGGAUGAAUUUCAAAGACCAAGCCUAAGACUUCAAAGAGAGUUCAAGUUUGCAUUUACGGUUCUGGGUCAAGUACUUAGCCCUCCCCUGGGUGCUCAUCCACUGUGAUUUAUUUAUUUAUUGUUAUUCUCAGGGUUUUAGGUUUUAAUCCAGUAGCCAAAUAUUUUCUUCCAAUACAGGGAAGACACCUAAUUCAAAGGUUGUCAGACGAUUUGUUCUUGGCCUCCCUUCUCUUCCCAUCCCCUCUCCUCCCCCCUGAAAAAAAAAAUAAAAAGAGAUAAAUUUACCACCCAAGCUUACAGACUACGACGUAGGCUAUAACGUGAGUCUCCCAGCUGAACCCUGGAAAGGGCCAGGCUCCCAUGCAGCCUGUGACCUCGGGAACCUCCUCCCCCCACUUUUCAUGAAGGUGGGAGUAGUUCUCAGGCCCAGGCCCCACUGCGUUUCUUUACCCUCAACCCAGACCAGUCCCGAGUUUGUGACUUGGAGCUGCAUGUGAUCUAGCCAUCUAACACAGAAGGGCCAGCUUCUGCCCUGAGCGGUCUUGUGUUUAACUUUCAAAGUGGGCAUCCUUUUGUUUUUCCAAAAGUGCGUGUCCUCUUCUGAUAGCCAGUGUAUCUGCAGUUAGCAUCCACUUGGGAAGAAAACAACCUCUGGAUCUGGUGGCAGAUUAGCAAAGACCUUCUCGUUUUCUGGGAGUGGACCCUCCACCAGCAACUCAUUUCGGGGUCACCAACCACAUUUCUCUUGCUGAAUUCACAGCCCUGCCUGUGGCAUCCUCUUGAAUUGCUGGACAUGUGUUUACUUGGCUCUGGUGAGGAAAGUACUCCCAGGGUCAGAUUCGCUUUGCUUUCAGAAAGGGCCAGGAUGAAGCUGGUGGAGGGGUCCAGGAGGCAGCGCCUGCCUCGAGCUCCCUGAGGACGGGGAGGUCUGAGGGGUGAGCAUGGCCAGUAUCAGAGGAGCUGGGACCCGUCUCCUGUGCCAGACCCUGUGGUGUGAGAGUUUCGCUUGGACGGGAGACAAAACCAGGAGGCAGGAGAGGGGGGUAUCAGGAUGAGGGGCAGAAGUAGAGGCCACGGUAGGAGGGGCUGGAGUGACAGGAGUAGGAGGUGCAUGGCCCAGGCGGAGGUCAGCCAGACUGUAAAUAUGGGAUCAUAAGACCUCUUCUGAGUUUUCAAUAAGAAAUCUUAGGUAAAGUGCCUAGUAUAUAAUGAAAGCUAAAUAAAUGUUAGUUAUCUGAAUGAAAAAUUAUAGAGGGGUGGGGGUGUAGACCUGCUACCACUUCCAAGGCAAAAAUAUACUGCUAAUAAUGAAAGAUUGGGAGGAAAGAGGAAGCCUUUUAUAAGAAACAUAAUUUACAGUGUUAUAAGAAUAACGUAUGUGAAAGCACUUCUCUUAAGAGACUUUAGAGCAAUUUUAGGGUCACAGCAAAAUUGAGGGGAAGCUAGAGACUUCCCAUGUACCGCCUCCUCCCACACACACCCAGUCACCCCAUCAUCAACAUCCCCCACCAGAGUGGGACGUUUGUUACAACUCACGAACUUACACUGAAUCAUCAUUGUUACCCAAAGCUCACAGUUUACAUUAGGGUUCACUCUUGGUGUUCUGUGGGUGUGGAAAAUGUAUAGCCACAUGUAUCCAUCAUUAUAGUGUUAAACAGAGUACUUUCACUGUCCUAAAAGUCCUCUGCACUCUGCCUAUUCAUCCCUUUCCACUUCAGCCCCUGGCAACCACUGACCGUUUUACUGCUUCCAUAGUUUUGCCUUUUCCAGAAUGUCAUGUAGUCAAAACCAUACAGCGUGUACCCUUUUCAGAUUGCCUUCUUUCACUUAGUCAUAUGCAUUUAAGUUUCCUCAAUGUCUUUUCAUGGUUUGAGAGCUCAUUUCUUUUUACUGUUGAAUAAUAAUCCGUUAUCUGGGUGGACCACAGUUUGUUUAUCCAUUCACCCACUGAAGGACAUCUUGUUUGCUUCCAAGUUUUGAAAGUUAUGAAUAAAGCUGCUAUAAACAUCUGUGUAAA